GGAUGCGAUCAUGCCAGCACUAAAGCAUCGGAUCCCAUCAGAACUCCGAAGUUAAGCGUGCUUGGGCGAGAGUAGUACUAGGAUGGACGAAGUUAAGCGUGCUUGCGCGAGAGUAGUACUAGGAUGGGUGACCUCCUGGAAAGUCCUCGUGUUGCAUCCC
Ribosomal RNA from Oryza sativa Japonica Group (Japanese rice), 160 nucleotides. The record is from Rfam. NCBI's taxonomy places the organism in Eukaryota, Viridiplantae, Streptophyta, Magnoliopsida, Poales, Poaceae.